CAUCGAUGUCGGCCUUGGGCAGGCUCACAUCCACAUCUGGACCUUCUCCUUUGAAGCCAGGCAUGCUGAAUUUGGGCAUUUUCACCUUGGGCAUCUUCAGGUGCCAGUCUGGGCCAUGAACAUCCACAUCUGGGGCAUCAAUGUCCACUUUGGGGCCCUUGAUGUCAACUUCAGGGGCCUUUAGAUCACCUUCCAUCUUAGGCAGAGAAACAUCCACAUCUCCUUUCACCUUAGGGCCUUUCAGAUGCAAAUCAAAGUCAGGCAUGGAGAUCUUGGGGGCUUUGAUGUUCAUCUCUGGCAUCUUGAAUUUAGGGCCCUUCAGUUUCGCAUCUGGACCUUCAAUAUUCACAUCUGGAACAUCAACGUCCACCUUGGGUCCUGAGACGUCAAGGUCAGCCUUGGGCAGGUUCACAUCCACUUCUCGGCCCUCUCCUUUGAAGCCAGGCAUGCUAAACUUGGGCAUUUUCAUCUUGGGCAUCUUCAGGUGCCAGUCUGGGCCUUGAACCUCCACAUCUGGGGCACUGACAUCUACUUUUGGGCCUUUCAGGUCCCCUUCCAG
This 559-nucleotide long non-coding RNA is filed under the name Homo sapiens (human). RNAcentral describes it as "HSALNT0176045". Lineage: Eukaryota; Metazoa; Chordata; Mammalia; Primates; Hominidae. The record is from RNAcentral.